AUACGGAGGAUCCGAGCGUUAUCCGGAUUUAUUGGGUUUAAAGGGUGCGCAGGCGGCCAUUUAAGUCAGCGGUUAAAUCGUGGGGCUCAACCCCAUUCUGCAGUUGAUACUGGUCGUCUUGAGUGCAGUAGAGGUAGGCGGAAUUCGUGGUGUAGCGGUGAAAUGCAUAGAUAUGACGAAGAACACCGAUUGCGUAGGCAGCUGACCAGACCGCAAAUGACGCUCAUGCACGAAAGUGCGGGGAUCGAACAGGAUUAGAUACCCUGGUAGUCCGCACAGUAAACGAUGAAUACUUGUUUUCGGCGAUAUAAUGUCGGAGGCAAAGCGAAAGCGAUAAGUCAUCCACCUGGGGAGUACGACCGCAAGGUUGAAACUCAAAGGAAUUGGCGGGG
RNAcentral lists this ribosomal RNA (392 nucleotides) under uncultured bacterium. Its description in RNAcentral is "partial 16S ribosomal RNA". It matches the Rfam family "Bacterial small subunit ribosomal RNA", at positions 523 to 918 of the family's 1533-position model. The record is from RNAcentral.